CGGGGGAGGCCGGAUCCUGGGAUGUGUCCUGGUGCCCUGUGCUCCGGGGCCUGCGCUGUUGGAUUCCCGUUCACGGCCGCGCAGCCGCCU
This 90-nucleotide microRNA precursor is filed under the name Canis lupus familiaris (dog). RNAcentral describes it as "mir-8799 microRNA precursor family". It matches the Rfam family "mir-8799 microRNA precursor family". RNAcentral also lists the same sequence under 1 other name. The record is from Rfam by way of RNAcentral. Lineage: Eukaryota; Metazoa; Chordata; Mammalia; Carnivora; Canidae.